RNAcentral lists this transfer RNA (72 nucleotides) under Spirogyra maxima. RNAcentral's name for it is "tRNA-Val". It matches the Rfam family "tRNA". Rfam says of the family: Transfer RNA (tRNA) molecules are approximately 80 nucleotides in length. Their secondary structure includes four short double-helical elements and three loops (D, anti-codon, and T loops). Lineage: Eukaryota; Viridiplantae; Streptophyta; Zygnematophyceae; Spirogyrales; Spirogyraceae. The record is from RNAcentral.
AAGGAUAUAACUCAGUGGUAGAGUGCUAUCUUGACGUGAUAGAGGUCAUCAGUUCGAAUCUGAUUAUCCUUA